This is a long non-coding RNA of Triticum dicoccoides, 585 nucleotides long. RefSeq lists it as uncharacterized. Lineage: Eukaryota; Viridiplantae; Streptophyta; Magnoliopsida; Poales; Poaceae. The transcript is spliced from 3 exons. The record is from RefSeq and is a predicted model, not a curated record.
UCCAUCUCCUUCCUCUCUUACUCCACCCCGAGCGCAACCCCGAUCGAGUUCUCCUCCUCAACCGCGCAGCGGAGACGGCCGGCCGGCCGGCCUCAUCGCACCACAUACGCAGCACAGAUCUCCGCCGCGCAACGACGUUACUCUAUAUCAUUCAUGGCGCCCCCGCCGCCGCCUCCCCCCGGCCACGAUCCAGCCGACGAAGCUCCGCCUAUUCGUGUGCUGGUUGUCGACCCCGACGGUGGGAUCUGGAUUGUUUAUAUACGAGACGAGGAAACGCAAUAGCAGGUAUGGAACCUUUCUACACGGCGCUGCUACACAAAGUUGCAUCUGACACCGAUAUAAUCAUACACGGCAGCGCCGUAGCGACCGUAGACAAUCAGAGGACUAUGCACUUAAAAUCCAUGCCCAAGACCAACCUCUCUUCUGCGCAAGAAAUUGGCUUGUAAAAUAAGAACGGCUUGUUUCUGUACUCGUGUUUGCGACAUAUGAACUGCUUGUGAGGCCAUCAGGCUGUGAAGCCAUGUGUACUCUGAAAGUGUGUUCCAAUGUAACAUGCAAAGAAUGGCAAUGUGACUAAUAUAUCUU